Molecule: long non-coding RNA, 2152 nt
Filed under: Homo sapiens (human)
Lineage: Eukaryota; Metazoa; Chordata; Mammalia; Primates; Hominidae
Description: HSALNT0348345
Source: RNAcentral
CAGAGCGAGAUUCUUUCUGAAAAAAAAAAAAGAAAAAAAAAAAAAGAAGUUACAUGUAGAAUUCUUAACUCAGUACUUGGCUUAUUGUGUGUGUGUGUGUGUGUGUGUGUGUGUGUGUGUGUGUGUGUGUGUGUAUGUGUUGUUAGCCCAAUAGCUAAAAGGAAAGUAUCACUUUUAUUGGGCGAGUAGCUAUGAAAGCUAAGCCUUAAUGGUGUCUAAGCUAAGAAGCAAAGCUAACAGAAACAAAAGGAAUGGGGUGGGAGGAAAACCAGAAAAGAAAUGGAGGGAAAAUGCACAUAUCUAUUAAAGCAAUGAGAAGCAGCAAGCUAAUAAUAUAAGUAUUAAUGGUGGUGGUGGUGAUGAUUUCUACAUGUAUUGCUCUGUUCCAGGGUCUAAUUUAAGCAUUUUCCAUAGAUAAGCCAUUUUACCUUCACAGGUACUUUGGGGGUCAUGUGGCUACACUGUCCAUUGCCUCCCCAAAUAGUACUCUCCUCUUACUAACAUGACUCUGCCACUGUUCAGUUUGCAAUACACCCAAUGUACCACUCAGUGUUGGACUGAGAAUACCCUGAUAACCUUACUCCUCUCUGCUGGACACUUGUUUCCUAGCCUUCCCAGUGGCCAGCAAUGACCAUGUGACUUGAAUUCUGGCCAGUGAGAUGCAAGGGGAAGUAUGCUGGGAAGCAGGGACUCUGGGAAAACAUUUGCAUCUUCAGGAUCAGACAUGAGAGGAGAGCUUGUUGGUUCUCCCUUUUUCUUCCUGACUGUGGGCCAUCUGGUGAAGAGCCAGAAGGCACAUCUGAAAGACAGACCUGGGAUCUUUGAUGACAGCAUUAAGCUGUAGAAGAACCUUGAGAUUGUUGCCUCUGACUUCUUUUUGAGAAUAAUAAAUGUACUUAUAAUAUAAAUGACUGUUACUGUGCUUACUCUAGAUUGCAGUUGCAAGCAUUCCUAUUUGAUACCGGAAGGUGCUGUUGUCAUCUUUGUGUAUUUAUUUCUCCAUUGUUUACAGAUAAGGAAACUGAGGAAUGGAGAGACGAAAUGUCUUGUCCAUGGUCAUCACAGCUGCUACCACGGAAGCCCUAGUCUGGCAGGAAAGAAGAGUCAUUAGGCAUCAUCUGGCAACUUGGCUUGGAGAAGUCAGAUCAGUCACCAAGAGUCUGGUGGGGCUGCAGCAAUGGCUAGAAAGAACCAGUGACAUGAUUGCCAGAGUGGUCAGAGAAGACCUUUCUGAGGCCAUGGUAUUUAAGAUGAGACUUGAAGAGCAACAAGAAGCUAGACACACAAAGCAGAUAAUUUUUUAAUGGCCAUUUCUGGAGAGAAGUUUCCAAGGGAUGAAGUUAUUAUACAGUUUCCAAAUAUUCCUGAAGAGGUCUAAAGAAAAUGUAUUCUGAUUCCACCUUUUACCUGUUUUCCUUUUUUUUUUUCUCUCUCUCUCUUUUUGGAAUUUGUUAUUUGGAUAUAGGAUACACUAGGCUGGUGCUCCAAUUUUCUUAUAUUUUCUGUUUUCCUUGAAGUUUUAGGGGACUUUCUGAACUUUAUUUUUCAAAAUUCAGUUGAGUCUUUAUUGUUUUCCAAAUAUCAACAUUUCUUACCCAGACUAAUGAACUAGCCUACUCACUCAUCUUUCUGAUCCUAUUCCUCUAUAUUAUCCACCCCAAUCCCAAGUUAAUUCUUGUAUGGUCUUUUUGAAAGACUGCAUGAGGUUUUUUGUUUUUAUUUCUGCUUAAAUUAUUUGCUGAUUUAUUUGCACUUAGGAUACAGGCCUAAAUCCUUAGCUUUGCUGACAUCAUGAAAGAUGUGGGCCCUCCCUAGCACUCCAGUUUCAUCUUACAUCAUGCCACUCUUUGGUACUUUAUCCUUACUGUCCAGCUUCAUUUCCUAGAGUGUCCUGUGACCCUCUUGACUCAGAGCCUCUGCACGUGCUGUUCCCUGUGUUUGUCUCCUUUGUCCAGCUCUACCAACUUCCUUUAUCUCUCAGUGUUCAGGUGUCAUCUCAUCUCCAGCAUGAAUUAGAUGUCUUAUCUUGUGCUUCUCAUUGGGCUAUACUGUAAUGCUUAGCACAUUAGUCAGUUCCCUCAUUGCUAUAAAGAAAUACCUGAGGCUGGGUAAUUUAUAAAGAAAGGAGGUUUAAUUGGCUCACAGUUCUGCA